GCGGUGGUAGCUCAGUUGGUAGAGCAUCAGCCUUCCAAGCUGAGGGUCGCGAGUUCGAACCUCGUCCGCCGCU
Molecule: transfer RNA, 73 nt
Filed under: Fidelibacterota bacterium
Lineage: Bacteria; Pseudomonadati; Fidelibacterota
Description: tRNA-Gly
Rfam family: tRNA
About the family: Transfer RNA (tRNA) molecules are approximately 80 nucleotides in length.
Source: RNAcentral